AGCAGCCAGUCUGUUCUGAGCUGCUGUGUGGAGAGCCCGCUUGUUUGUGUGCACAAGCGUAUUACAAAAGGAAAGGUCUUGCAACCUUUACAUUUCAUGCUCUCAUUCCAAGGUUUUAAAGGGCAUAGCUGUGACUGUCUGUGUCCUCCCUGGGUAUUCUAAUAUGUUCAUGUCAGUUCCAAAUCAACGGCCUACGCUGAAUGGGAUGAACACAUGUGGGGUCCAGACUGUGCUGGCUAGCUGGGCAUGAAAACAGCUGGAAAGACAGGUCUCAUUGUAGUUGACAGAAGAACCAGAAAUGAUUUCUAGGCCAUAAUGCCCAGCAGUAUGUCAGUUAUCCAAUGAAGACAUCAUUUAUUGAUUCAUUAAUCUGUACGUUAUGCUGCCUUUUAAUUGCUGUUUGGAAAGGUGCAUAAGUUGGGCUUUAUGCAUUUUGUACUUGUAUUACACCUCCUGUUAAUAA
Acipenser ruthenus (sterlet) is the source of this 463-nucleotide long non-coding RNA. RefSeq lists it as uncharacterized. The record is from RefSeq and is a predicted model, not a curated record. Lineage: Eukaryota; Metazoa; Chordata; Actinopteri; Acipenseriformes; Acipenseridae. The transcript is spliced from 5 exons.